RNAcentral lists this ribosomal RNA (426 nucleotides) under Triticum aestivum (bread wheat). RNAcentral's name for it is "partial small subunit ribosomal RNA". The record is from RNAcentral. Lineage: Eukaryota; Viridiplantae; Streptophyta; Magnoliopsida; Poales; Poaceae.
AUGGACCUUGGGCGCCUAAACUAUGGGGUCAUCACACUCAUCCCCAAAGUUCCGGGCGCUUCUGACAUCCGCCAGUUUUGGCCUAUCACUGUGAUCGAUGUGAUAUUCCGGAUCUUGGCCAAGGGGUACGCCAAUAGGGUGACCCUUCUAGCUGACACCGUUACCCACCCCAACCAGUCCGCCUUCAUUCAAGGGUGGUUCAUCCUGGAUGGGGUGUUAGUCUUCCACGAGAUUCUUCACGAAGUCCGGUCCAAGCACCAUCGAGCGGUCUUCCUAAAGCUCGACUUCCAUAAAGCCUAUGAUACGGUUCACUGGCCCUUCCUUCGGGAAGUCUUGCUCCGCAAGGGCUUCGAUGACCGGUGGGUGACCAGAGUUAUAUAUGCAACUCGUCUCCUGUGGUCGAACUGCCGUGAACAUCAACGGUGA